UGUAAAAUACACGCAUUUCCAAGACUCACUGCAAAGAGGAGAAUUUAUUUCAUGACAAUUUUUAUAUUGACGACACGUUGAAAUGACCCGCAUUUCAAUAUAUUAGAUUAACUAUAUGAUGAAAAUUAAUUUCCCCCGCUUCUUUCUUUAAGCGUCGAUAUUGGAAAAUUCAGAAUUACACACGCAGCUCGCACUGCAUUCCCAUGGGCCAGCGCUCUCGAGGUGGACUUUUCUCACUGCCUCGAGCUGGGCUGGGCAGACCGGGCCCCACCCCCUGUGCUAUAGUUGGGGAUGGGGCGGGGGGAUGGUGCUGGGGAGAAGAAUCAGCCCCCCACCCACCCUGCACGUUGGGGUCAGAUCAAGACCCUCCUCUCCCACGCCCCUCCCCCUGGGGCGAGUCCCACUUCCGGCCGGGCCCAAGUCCCUGCCAGACUUGACUUUUAUUUUUAGCAGCCUCAGCGCCGCUGGCUCUCAAGCUUGCUGGGUGUGGGCCAGCCCCAGGCCACCAUUUCCCUGCCAGCGGGGGUCUCCGGGGACCAGGCUCCACGUUUGGAGCCUCUCAGGGCUGCAGUAGCACUCUGGAGCCACAGGACCAUUGGGCGGAUAAACACAAGCGAGUGAUUUAUGAUCUACGAAGUUUAAUUCCCUUGCACGUAAACUACGAAAAUAAUACCGAGAUACAACCCUUGUCUUAGGGUCUGUGACUGACGGUGCCCGUCCCCGAGCAGCACCAGGUGGCAAUCAACACUCCAAGGUUGGCUUGAUGCUUGACCAGCAUCCUGCCCUCGUUUCCUGAACACCUGCUGUGCAAGGCUCUGGGUGGUUCUGCAAGAUGAAUCAUUUAAGCAGUCACUUACUCAACAAACCUUUUUUUGAGCACUUGCUACUUUGUAUGGGCUUAUUUAUUUAUAGCAUGCCUUGUUCCAGAAAACACAUAACAGAACUUCUGUAUUUGAGAGACUAAAAUUUUAAAGGUGUGGUCACGGGAGGAGUGACAAAUGGAAAACAGAAGUUGAAAAGGUCAGAAGAGCCCAGGAAUGAAACAGUGAUCCAAAGUACAGGCCUUGAGGUCCUACGUGGUACAGAGACAGGCUACAGGUUGUCCUCUGACCUCUCCAGCAGCCAAAACCAGAUCCCACGCCGUUCGGGAUCCAUGAACCAGUUGCAAGAGGAGAAACAUGACUCACGUAGGUCCCAGGACCAGAGAGGCCUUUUCCCGGUGCGUUCGCAGAAGAGACAGAGCAUCGUCAAACAUAGGGAGCGAUGUCCACAACGCUGCACAUACAACACAGGUGUCAGGGGCCCUUUCCCGUAGGCCCUCCAUGCUGGCCCAAGUCCUGCAGCCUUUCUGCAGCAGGGAGAGGAUGACAGCACAGGGCAAGCAUGCCUCGCCCUGGCUUAAUCCAUAUGCAGUGUUUGUAGGAAACAUUUACAGCAAACUUGCAGUCAACUGGCUAAGUGCAGUCCUCGGGUGAGCUUUGUUUGGUCCGAGAAGGAUAUUUAAAUUGAUUGGAUUACAAGGGGGUAUAUGCACCCCGAUGUUCAUACCAGCGUUAUCAACAAUAGGCAAAUCACAGGGGCACCCGGGGGCUCAGUCGGUUGAGCGUCUGACUUCAGCCCAGGUCAUGAUCUCAUGUUCAUGAGUUCGACCCCCACGUCCGGCUCUGUGCUGACAGCUUAGAGCCUGGAGCCUGCUUUGGAGUCUGUGUCUCCCUCUCUCUCUCUCUGCCCCUCCUCCACUUGUGCUCUGUCUCUCUCUCUCUCUCUCUCAAAAAUAAAUAAACAUUAAAAAAAGAAACGAUAGCCAAGUUACGGAAGCAGCCCAAGUGUCCACGACUGAUGAAUGGAUAAAAAACAUACACUAUGGAGGGGUGCCUGGGUGGCUCAGUCGGUUAAGCGGCCGACUUCGGCUCAGGUCAUGAUCUCACGGUCCGUGAGUUCGAGCCCCGUGUUGGGCUCUGUGCUGACAGCUCAGAGCCUGGAGCCUGUUUCAGAUUCUGUGCCUCCCUCUCUCUGACCCUCCCCCGUUCAUGCUCUGUCUCUCUCUGUCUCAAAAAUAAAUAAACGUUAAAAAAAAUUUUAAAAAAAAUACACCAUGGAAUAUUACUGAGUCAUCAAAAGGAAUUGGAAUCUUGCCAUUGGCAAUGACGUGGUUGGAGCUACAGUGUAUUAUGCUAAGUGUAUUUGUCAGAGAAAGACAGAUAUCAUAUGAUUUCACCCAUAUGUGAAAUUUAAGAAACAAAACAAAUGAGCAAGGGGAGAGACAAACUAGGAAACAGACUCUUUUGGUUUUUUUAAUGUUCACUUUUGACAGAGAGAGAGACAGAGCAUGAGUGGGGGGUGGGGGAGUGCAGAGAGAGAGGGAGACACAGCAUCCAAGGCAGGCUCCAGGCUCUGAGCUGUCAGCACAGAACCUGACACGGGGCUCGAACCCACGAACAGCAAGAUCACGACCUGAGCCGAAGUCGGACGCUCAACCAACGGAGCCACCCAGGUACUCCGGAAACAGACUCUUAACUAUGGAGAA
This is a long non-coding RNA of Acinonyx jubatus (cheetah), 2527 nucleotides long. RefSeq lists it as uncharacterized. Lineage: Eukaryota; Metazoa; Chordata; Mammalia; Carnivora; Felidae. The record is from RefSeq and is a predicted model, not a curated record. The transcript is spliced from 4 exons.